CCUACGGGUGGCAGCAGUGAGGAAUAUUGGUCAAUGGGCGGAAGCCUGAACCAGCCAAGUAGCGUGCAGGAUGACGGCCCUACGGGUUGUAAACUGCUUUUAUACGGGAAUAACGCGCCUUACGUGUAGGGCUUUGCAUGUACCGUAUGAAUAAGGACCGGCUAAUUCCGUUCCAGCAGCCGCGGUAAUACGGAAGGUCCGGUCGUUAUCCGGAUUUCUUGGGUUUAACAGGAGCGUAGGCCGCAGGUCAAGAGUGCGGUGAAAUUUCUGGGCUCAACCCGGGCCUUGCAGCGCGAACGGGCGUGCUUGAGUCCGCGGAAAGCAGGCGGAAUUCGUCGUGUAGCGGUGAAAUGCUUAGAUAUGACGAAGAACCCCGAUUGCGAAGGCAGCUUGCUGCAGCGGAACUGACGCUGAUGCUCGAAAGCGCGGGUAUCGAACAGGAUUAGAUACCCCAGUAGUC
RNAcentral lists this ribosomal RNA (460 nucleotides) under uncultured bacterium. RNAcentral's name for it is "partial 16S ribosomal RNA". It matches the Rfam family "Bacterial small subunit ribosomal RNA", at positions 338 to 795 of the family's 1533-position model. The record is from RNAcentral.